RNAcentral lists this non-coding RNA (410 nucleotides) under Dickeya dadantii 3937. Lineage: Bacteria; Pseudomonadati; Pseudomonadota; Gammaproteobacteria; Enterobacterales; Pectobacteriaceae. The record is from RNAcentral.
GGAGCGACACAUCCAGCGGCUUGAUAAACAAAUGAUUAUUGUUGAGCGCCACGUCACCGCUGGCCUUCACCAGCCCGCCAUUGAGCGGGAUGUCGAGAUGCAGGUUGCCCUGAACUUCCCCGCCAAUCUGAAUCUGUGUUAGCGCACCGCCUAGCGAGAUUUUCAGCGGCGUUUGGUCGAAGUAAUCGCUCACUUCUUUACCGCUUCCGCUGAUGUCGCCGUCAAUCAGCAGCGUCUCUUUGCUGUAGUCUGGGAUAACGGCAUUGACGUUGCGCCCUUCGGCGUCACCCAGCAUGACAUGCGGCGCCGACAUCCACAGGCCGUUGUUAAGGAAAUUCAGCGAGAUAUUCAGAUUAUCCAGCGCCGGCCAACCGGGUUGGAAUUCGAAACGCGAUUUUUCCAGCGGCACC